Molecule: transfer RNA, 95 nt
Filed under: Collariella sp. IMI 366227
Lineage: Eukaryota; Fungi; Ascomycota; Sordariomycetes; Sordariales; Chaetomiaceae
Description: tRNA-Lys
Rfam family: tRNA
About the family: Transfer RNA (tRNA) molecules are approximately 80 nucleotides in length.
Source: RNAcentral
GCCCGGCUAGCUCAAUCGGUAGAGCGUGAGACUCUUAAUUACAGAGUACUCCGUAGUAAAUCUCAAGGUUGUGGGUUCGACCCCCACGUCGGGCU